Long non-coding RNA from Siniperca chuatsi (mandarin fish), 787 nucleotides. RefSeq lists it as uncharacterized. NCBI's taxonomy places the organism in Eukaryota, Metazoa, Chordata, Actinopteri, Centrarchiformes, Sinipercidae. The record is from RefSeq and is a predicted model, not a curated record. The transcript is spliced from 3 exons.
CUGUCCGUCUUUACGGCGCUCUGCUGCCUGCAGCACAAACCGCCCACAGGAGCCCGCAGGGUGGACGUGUAGUCCAGGAGAGGAGGGUUGCAGGUUUGAAUCCCAGGGGGAGAUCUGACAAAUAACCGGUUGGACAGCAGAAGAGAAGAGAAGUGAAGACUCGUCCCUGCUGUUUCCUGCUGCACUGGAGCUGGUUUUUAACUGGCCGACGCGAGAAACUCCUCCAGAGUCCGUAGCGAUCAGGAAUCUUUCUGUCAAAAUCAAGAUGCAUUCUGAUAAUAACACAGAUAACAAAGAACGAAGCAGGACAGGGACCGUCUCCGUACCCAGAGACCGAGACUCCGGUAUAAACGGAUUCCAGCAGGAGUAAUGUGCACGUUCCUGACACCAGUAACACCAGUGUGACUCUUUAACUCUGCAGCUCUUACCUGCAGAAAAUGUGAGUAACGUUUAUUUUCUAUUGUGAGAGUUUAAAUGAUUUUUCAUGAAAAGGUUCAGGUAUAUCUCCGCAGCAGCCAGUUCACGCUGUUCACUACAGGUUUGUCAACAGGAACAUAUCCGCUUCCUGUUUUUAAAGUGGUUUUUUUAAAAUUUGCUUUGAGGUUUUAAAAACAUUAAUAAAUGUAAAAGACUUUUUAUAUUGACGUGUACUGAAUUACCUUUUAUUGUCCUGUAGUAAUAGCCGAUGUAAAAAAGCUCUGAUAACAUAGUAACAUAGGUUCAAAUAUGUCCAUGGCACCCAGUUAACAUUGUUUUCUUGAACAUGAAGACGAUCUGAAUAAUUUGA